This 218-nucleotide ribosomal RNA is filed under the name Escherichia coli. Its description in RNAcentral is "partial 23S ribosomal RNA". It matches the Rfam family "Bacterial large subunit ribosomal RNA", at positions 1 to 210 of the family's 2925-position model. The record is from RNAcentral. Lineage: Bacteria; Pseudomonadati; Pseudomonadota; Gammaproteobacteria; Enterobacterales; Enterobacteriaceae.
GGGUUGUGAGGUUAAGCGACUAAGCGUACACGGUGGAUGCCCUGGCAGUCAGAGGCGAUGAAGGACGUGCUAAUCUGCGAUAAGCGUCGGUAAGGUGAUAUGAACCGUUAUAACCGGCGAUUUCCGAAUGGGGAAACCCAGUGUGUUUCGACACACUAUCAUUAACUGAAUCCAUAGGUUAAUGAGGCGAACCGGGGGAACUGAAACAUCUAAGUACC